CGGGUGUGAAUUAGCGGCGAACGGGUGAGGAACACGUGAAGAAUCUGCCUUCAACUCUGGGAUAACUCCGGGAAACCGGGGCUAAUACCGGAUAUGAGCCUUGAUCGCAUGAUCGGGGCUGGAAAGUUUUUCGGUUGAAGAUGACUUCGCGGCCUAUCAGCUUGUUGGUGAGGUAAUGGCUCACCAAGGCGACGACGGGUAGCCGGCCUGAGAGGGCGACCGGCCACACUGGGACUGAGACACGGCCCAGACUCCUACGGGAGGCAGCAGUGGGGAAUAUUGGGCAAUGGAGGAAACUCUGACCCAGCGACGCCGCGUGAGGGAUGAAGGCCUUCGGGUUGUAAACCUCUUUCAGUAGGGAAGAAGCGAAAGUGACGGUACCUACAGAAGAAGCACCGGCUAACUAUGUGCCAGCAGCCGCGGUAAUACAUAGGGUGCAAGCGUUGUCCGGAAUUAUUGGGCGUAAAGAGCUCGUAGGUGGUUCGAUACGUCGGAUGUGAAAAUCAGGGGCUCAACCCCUGACCUGCAUCCGAUACGGUCGAGCUAGAGUUUGGUAGGGGAGACUGGAAUUCCUGGUGUAGCGGUGGAAUGCGCAGAUAUCAGGAGGAACACCGAUGGCGAAGGCAGGUCUCUGGGCCAAUACUGACACUGAGGAGCGAAAGCGUGGGGAGCGAACAGGAUUAGAUACCCUGGUAGUCCACGCCGUAAACGGUGGGCGCUAGUUGUGCGAACCUUCCACGGUUUGUGCGACGCAGCUAACGCAUUAAGCGCCCCGCCUGGGGAGUACGAUCGCAAGAUUAAAACUCAAAGGAAUUGACGGGGCCCCGCACAAGCAGCGGAGCAUGCGGCUUAAUUCGACGCAACGCGAAGAACCUUACCUAGGCUUGACAUAUACAGGAAUAUGGCAGAGAUGUCA
RNAcentral lists this ribosomal RNA (916 nucleotides) under uncultured Actinomycetales bacterium. Its description in RNAcentral is "bacterial SSU rRNA". It matches the Rfam family "Bacterial small subunit ribosomal RNA", at positions 82 to 1011 of the family's 1533-position model. Lineage: Bacteria; Bacillati; Actinomycetota; Actinomycetes; Actinomycetales. The record is from RNAcentral.